This 247-nucleotide ribosomal RNA is filed under the name uncultured Actinomycetes bacterium. RNAcentral's name for it is "uncultured actinobacterium partial 16S ribosomal RNA". It matches the Rfam family "Bacterial small subunit ribosomal RNA", at positions 28 to 276 of the family's 1533-position model. Lineage: Bacteria; Bacillati; Actinomycetota; Actinomycetes. The record is from RNAcentral.
GACGAACGCUGGCGGCGUGCUUAACACAUGCAAGUCGAGCGGUAAGGCCCUUUCGGGGGUACACGAGCGGCGAACGGGUGAGUAACACGUGGGUGACCUGCCCUUAGCUCUGGGAUAAGCCUGGGAAACUGGGUCUAAUACUGGAUAUGACUCCACGGCGCAUGUUGUGGGGUGGAAAGCCUUGUGCGGCUGGGGAUGGGCCCGCGGCCUAUCAGCUUGUUGGUGGGGUGAUGGCCUACCAAACCUA